This 292-nucleotide unclassified non-coding RNA is filed under the name uncultured fungus. RNAcentral's name for it is "sequence contains ITS1". The record is from RNAcentral. Lineage: Eukaryota; Fungi.
UGGCUACUAGGGUAUCUAAUCCUGUUUGCUCCCCACGCUUUCGUUCCUCAGCGUCAAGAAUGGUCCAGUUAGCCGCCUUCGCCACUGGUGUUCUUCCGAAUAUCUACGAAUUUCACCUCUACACUCGGAAUUCCACUAACCUCUCCCAUCUUCAAGCGAAGCAGUCUCAAAGGCAGUUCCACGAUUGAGUCGUGGGCUUUCACCUCUGACUUACAAAGCCGCCUACGAACGCUUUACGCCCAGUAAUUCCGAAUAACGCUAGCUCCCUCCGUAUUACCGCGGCUGCUGGCAC